AAGCCUUUAGAGAUAGAGGCGUGCUCGAAAGAGAGCCGUAACACAGGUGCUGCAUGGCUGUCGUCAGGCUCGUGUCGUGAGAUGUUGGGUUAAGUCCCGCAACGAGCGCAACCCUUGUCAUUAGUUGCUACAUUCAGUUGGGCACUCUAAUGAGACUGCCGGUGACAAGCCGGAGGAAGGUGGGGAUGACGUCAAGUCCUCAUGGCCCUUAUAGGUGGGGCUACACACGUCAUACAAUGGCUGGUACAAAGGGUUGCCAACCCGCGAGGGGGAGCUAAUCCCAUAAAGCCAGUCGUAGUCCGGAUCGUAGUCUGCAACUCGACUACGUGAAGUCGGAAUCGCUAGUAAUCGUGGAUCAGAGUGUCACGGUGAAUACGUUCCCGGGUCUU
RNAcentral lists this ribosomal RNA (389 nucleotides) under uncultured Rhodoferax sp. RNAcentral's name for it is "bacterial SSU rRNA". It matches the Rfam family "Bacterial small subunit ribosomal RNA", at positions 994 to 1382 of the family's 1533-position model. The record is from RNAcentral. Lineage: Bacteria; Pseudomonadati; Pseudomonadota; Betaproteobacteria; Burkholderiales; Comamonadaceae.